Molecule: ribosomal RNA, 253 nt
Filed under: uncultured bacterium
Lineage: Bacteria
Description: partial 16S ribosomal RNA
Rfam family: Bacterial small subunit ribosomal RNA
Source: RNAcentral
GACGAACCGAGCGAACGUUGUUCGGAAUUACUGGGCGUAAAGCGCAUGUAGGCGGCAGCGCAAGUCGGGCGUGAAAUCCCACGGCUCAACCGUGGAAGUGCACUCGAAACUGCGCAGCUAGAGUCCUGGAGAGGAAGGUGGAAUGCUUGGUGUAGAGGUGAAAUUCGUAGAUAUCAAGCGGAACACCGGUGGCGAAGGCGGCCUUCUGGACGAGGACUGACGCUGAGACGCGAAAGCGUGGGGAGCAAACAGG